This 578-nucleotide long non-coding RNA is filed under the name Hordeum vulgare. RNAcentral's name for it is "long non-coding RNA (HVUL_LNC004553)". The record is from RNAcentral. Lineage: Eukaryota; Viridiplantae; Streptophyta; Magnoliopsida; Poales; Poaceae.
GCUUCACUUAUAUCUUUUGAGCUAGAUAACUUUGCUCUAGUGCUUCACUUAGAUCUAUUAGAGCAUGGCGGUGUCAUAUUUUAAUGAAAUAAGAACUCUCGAUCUUCACGUAUAUCUUUUUGAGAGUGCUCUCUCUAAGUAACUUGGUAAUUGGCGUAUGCUAUGAAAGAGUCCAAAAGAUGAUAGGCAUCCAAAGAGGAUAUAAUAAAAACUUCCGUAUUCAAGUCAUUUGAUUAGUAAGAGAAGUUUGAUUCCUCACAAUUAGUUUUGAAAUAUGGAUAUGGUAAUAUUAGAGUUAUGUUAGUAGGGUGUUGUGAAUCUAGAAAUACUUGUGUUGAAGUUAGUGAUUCCAAUAGCAUGCACGUAUGGUGAACCGCUAUGUUAGGAAGUCAGAGCAUAAUUGAUUUAUUGAUUUUCAUCCUUUGUGUGGCUGUCAGGAUCGCGCGAUGGUUAAACACCUACCAACCCUUCCCCUAGGAGUAUGCGUUUAGCACUUUGUCUUGAUUACUAAUAAAACUUUCGCAAUAAGUAUAUGAGUUCUUCAGGACUAAUGUGAGUCCAUGGUAUAGAUGCACUUU